Molecule: ribosomal RNA, 169 nt
Filed under: uncultured bacterium
Lineage: Bacteria
Description: partial 16S ribosomal RNA
Rfam family: Bacterial small subunit ribosomal RNA
Source: RNAcentral
CCUACGGGAGGCAGCAGUAGGGAAUUUUCCACAAUGGGCGAAAGCCUGAUGGAGCAACGCCGCGUGCAGGAGGAAGGCCUUCGGGUUGUAAACUGCUUUUAUCUGUGAAGAUUAUGACAGUAGCAGAAGAAUAAGGAUCGGCUAAUUCCGUGCCAGCAGCCGCGGUAAU